GAGUGUUACAUUUCUAGACAUCCAUUGGAACGAUACACAAAAGAUUAGCAUGGUCUUUGCUUAAAGAUUACAUGUACAAAUCGACAAAUGGUCCAAAUUUUU
Non-coding RNA from Picea glauca (white spruce), 102 nucleotides. The record is from Rfam. NCBI's taxonomy places the organism in Eukaryota, Viridiplantae, Streptophyta, Pinopsida, Pinales, Pinaceae.